AGUGAACGCUGGCGGUAGGCCUAACACAUGCAAGUCGAACGGCAGCACAGUAAGAGCUUGCUCUUACGGGUGGCGAGUGGCGGACGGGUGAGGAAUACAUCGGAAUCUACUUUUUCGUGGGGGAUAACGUAGGGAAACUUACGCUAAUACCGCAUACGACCUACGGGUGAAAGCAGGGGAUCUUCGGACCUUGCGCGAUUGAAUGAGCCGAUGUCGGAUUAGCUAGUUGGCGGGGUAAAGGCCCACCAAGGCGAGGAUCCGUAGCUGGUCUGAGAGGAUGAUCAGCCACACUGGAACUGAGACACGGUCCAGACUCCUACGGGAGGCAGCAGUGUGGAAUAUUGGACAAUGGGCGCAAGCCUGAUCCAGCCAGACCGCGUGGGUGAAGAAGGCCUUCGGGUUGCAAAGCCCUUUUGUUGGGAAAGAAAAGCAGCAGGUUAAUACCCCGCUGUUCUGACGGUACCCAAAGAAUAAGCACCGGCUAACUUCGUG
This 492-nucleotide ribosomal RNA is filed under the name uncultured bacterium. Its description in RNAcentral is "partial 16S ribosomal RNA". It matches the Rfam family "Bacterial small subunit ribosomal RNA", at positions 29 to 507 of the family's 1533-position model. The record is from RNAcentral.